CUGGGGUGGGCGCCAGCCCGGCUCCUUAGAUCUGCCUUGUAUGUGGGACAAAAUAGGACAGAAUGUGUGCACGUAUAUUAUGCUGCACGUUUGAUCAAAAUUCAGAAGGCUUAGACUACCACUGUCCUCCACAAGGUGUUCCAGCAGAUUGUCAACCUAUUCAACACAAGAGGUUGGUUGGAAUGAAACUGGCCUGGAGAAAUUAUUCACUGAAAUUUUAUCAGCAUUGGAAAGUCCUGGAGCCCUACUGGCUGCAUGAGUUAGGGGUGGAAGGGCUCUCUUGGGGCAUGACAACUCCAUAAUGCUGUGAAGAGCUACUUCCAAGGAAUCAGUCUCUAUCUGGAAAAGAAAGAAUAGAGCCUCUGUACCUGGGAAGUUGGAGCAAUGGGAAGUUGGAGCAAGAAAUCAUGAGAUCCUUCUGUUUUUCAUCAAACUUGCAAAGAUGGGGUCUCUGUCACCUAGGCUGGAGUGCUUUGGAGU
Long non-coding RNA from Cercocebus atys (sooty mangabey), 480 nucleotides. RefSeq lists it as uncharacterized. The transcript has 3 exons. The record is from RefSeq and is a predicted model, not a curated record. Lineage: Eukaryota; Metazoa; Chordata; Mammalia; Primates; Cercopithecidae.